AGAGUUUGAUCCUGGCUCACGAUGAACGCUGGCGGCGUGCUUAACACAUGCAAGUCGAACGAAGCACUCUAUUUGAUUUCCUUCGGGAUUGAUUAUUUUGUGACUGAGUGGCGGACGGGUGAGUAACGCGUGGGUAACCUGCCUUGUACAGGGGGAUAACAGUUGGAAACGGCUGCUAAUACCGCAUAAGCGCACAGUACCGCAUGGUAUAGUGUGAAAAACUCCGGUGGUAUAAGAUGGACCCGCGUUUGAUUAGCUGGUUGGUGGGGUAACGGCCUACCAAGGCGACGAUCAAUAGCCGACCUGAGAGGGUGACCGGCCACAUUGGGACUGAGACACGGCCCAAACUCCUACGGGAGGCAGCAGUGGGGAAUAUUGCACAAUGGGCGAAAGCCUGAUGCAGCGACGCCGCGUGAGCGAAGAAGUAUUUCGGUAUGUAAAGCUCUAUCAGCAGGGAAGAUAAUGACGGUACCUGACUAAGAAGCACCGGCUAAAUACGUGCCAGCAGCCGCGGUAAUACGUAUGGUGCAAGCGUUAUCCGGAUUUACUGGGUGUAAAGGGAGCGCACGCGGUGCGGCAAGUCUGAUGUGAAAGCCCGGGGCUCAACCCCGGUACUGCAUUGGAAACUGUCGUACCUAGAGUGUCGGAGGGGUAAGCGGAAUUCCUAGUGUACCGGUGACAUGCGUAGAUAUUAGGAGGAACACCAGUGGCGAAGGCGGCUUACUGGACGAUAACUGACGCUGAGGCUCGAAAGCGUGGGGAGCAAACAGGAUUAGAUACCGUGGUAGUCCACGCCGUAGACGAUGAAUACUAGGUGUCGGGAGGCAUUGCCUUUCGGUGCCGUCGCAAACGCAGUAAGUAUUCCACCUGGGGAGUACGUUCGCAAGAAUGAAACUCAAAGGAAUUGACGGGGACCCGCACAAGCGGUGGAGCAUGUGGUUUAAUUCGAAGCAACGCGAAGAACCUUACCAAGUCUUGACAUCCUUCUGACCGGUACUUAAUCGUACCUUCUCUUCGGAGCAGGAGUGACAGGUGGUGCAUGGUUGUCGUCAGCUCGUGUCGUGAGAUGUUGGGUUAAGUCCCGCAACGAGCGCAACCCUUAUCUUUAGUAGCCAGCGGUUCGGCCGGGCACUCUAGAGAGACUGCCAGGGAUAACCUGGAGGAAGGCGGGGAUGACGUCAAAUCAUCAUGCCCCUUAUGACUUGGGCUACACACGUGCUACAAUGGCGUAAACAAAGGGAAGCAAAGCUGUGAGGCCGAGCAAAUCUCAAAAAUAACGUCUCAGUUCGGACUGUAGUCUGCAACCCGACUACACGAAGCUGGAAUCGCUGGUAAUCGCAGAUCAGAAUGCUGCGGUGAAUACGUUCCNCGGGUAUUGUACACAGCGCCCGUC
Molecule: ribosomal RNA, 1393 nt
Filed under: uncultured bacterium
Lineage: Bacteria
Description: 16S ribosomal RNA
Rfam family: Bacterial small subunit ribosomal RNA
Source: RNAcentral